Priapulus caudatus is the source of this 600-nucleotide long non-coding RNA. RefSeq lists it as uncharacterized. Lineage: Eukaryota; Metazoa; Priapulida; Priapulimorpha; Priapulimorphida; Priapulidae. The transcript has 3 exons. The record is from RefSeq and is a predicted model, not a curated record.
CAGGACUGUCGCUCCUACGUAAUUUUACAAAUCAAAAUCUCUAAAACAGAGGUUUCACCAGACUACAUGCACCCACUGAGUGACUGCAUGACCUAGCCCGGCUACAACAGAGUUGUCUACUUCAUUCUUCUUGGCAGCACAUGAUAUAACAUAACACAAAAUGCUGCGUCUCCUGACAUUUCUCCAUAACAACACAACCUUAGUUGGUGCUUGCCUUCUCCGACCAUCAAGGCUCAGUGCUGGGGUGACGAACAGAUGGCAGAUAAAGCAGGUUGCCGCGUCUACUGAUGUGCGAUCGCACAUCAAUGGCACAUCAUCUACUUACGUGGAACAGAUGUAUGAGCAGUGGCUGACAAACCCUGCAUCUGUUCAUGAGUCGUGGAAUGUGUUUUUCCACCAACAAGUUGAGCCGAAGGUUGGAGAGCCUGCACAAAUAGGAACACCAUUGCACGCAUUUGACCCUGAAAACCCCCCACAACAGGUGGCAGCAUCAUCGGUUGCUGCAAACGAGACGCGCACGAUAGAUGAGCAUCUGGCCGUGCAAGCUAUAAUACGAGCAUAUCAGGUACAGGGUGCAUGUGAUCUUAUACAGCUCCGAUA